Molecule: ribosomal RNA, 429 nt
Filed under: Bacteroidota bacterium
Lineage: Bacteria; Pseudomonadati; Bacteroidota
Description: Bacteroidetes bacterium partial 16S ribosomal RNA
Rfam family: Bacterial small subunit ribosomal RNA
Source: RNAcentral
UAGGGAAUCUUCCGCAAUGGACGCAAGUCUGACGGAGCAACGCCGCGUGAGUGAAGAAGGAUUUCGGUUCGUAAAACUCUGUUGUUAGAGAAGAACAGCGCAUAGAGUAACUGUUAUGCGUGUGACGGUAUCUAACCAGAAAGCCACGGCUAACUACGUGCCAGCAGCCGCGGUAAUACGUAGGUGGCAAGCGUUGUCCGGAUUUAUUGGGCGUAAAGCGAGCGCAGGCGGUCAAUUAAGUCUGAUGUGAAAGCCCCCGGCUCAACCGGGGAGGGUCAUUGGAAACUGGUAGACUUGAGUGCAGAAGAGGAGAGUGGAAUUCCAUGUGUAGCGGUGAAAUGCGUAGAUAUAUGGAGGAACACCGGUGGCGAAAGCGGCUCUCUGGUCUGUAACUGACGCUGAGGCUCGAAAGCGUGGGGAGCGAACAGG